AUGUACAGGAACAACUACCGCAAUGGCGAGGCACUAGUUAAUCCUCUUCGCAUGGUGGGGAAAAUCAAGGCUUAUAUUGAAUUCAUUACUGAGUAUAAUGUCAGCCCAACAGGUUCCAACAGACGUGAGACCUUUCCAUCAACCUAAAAAUGGUCUCCGCCGCUGGAAGGUUGGGUGCUGAUCAAUGUAGACGCUGCGGUUUUCUCCCACUCAGGAUGGGCUGGCUAUGGGGUUGUAGUGUGAGACCAUCGAGGGACACUUUUGUCUGCAUACCGAGGCUCCUAUAUUGAUCAAAUUCAAAACCCAGAAGUGGUUGAAGCUAUUGUUGUUCGUCAAGCGCUCAUCAUUGCUGAAGAUGCUGGUUUUCAUAAGAUUCAGGUGGUCUCCGAUUGCUUGUCGCUGAUGAACAAGGUUCAGGAUAUGAGUUUCGGCAGGUCCCCUUCAGGUGCCAUAGUCCAGGAUAUUAAAAGUAGGGCCGCAAAGUUCUUAUCUUGUGAUUUUAUCCAUGUCAAAUGUUGUUGUAAUGAGGCGCAUGUACUGGGAAAAUCUGUAGAAUUUGAUGUUGGGUCCUGUUGGUCUAGUGAGCCACCUGACGAAAUCAGGGCCAUUAUUUGUAAUGGACAUGUUUCUAAGUGA
RNAcentral lists this ribosomal RNA (636 nucleotides) under Triticum aestivum (bread wheat). RNAcentral's name for it is "partial small subunit ribosomal RNA". The record is from RNAcentral. Lineage: Eukaryota; Viridiplantae; Streptophyta; Magnoliopsida; Poales; Poaceae.